GGGCCCGGUGCAUUUCGCGCUCUUCGUGUCGGUGCUCUUCUGGCUGCUGACCCUGGGCCUCUACUUCCUCACGCUGCUGGGCAAGCACGAGCUGGUGCCUGUGCUCGGCUCGCGCUGGCUGGUGGUCAACGUGGCGCACGACCUGCUGGCGGCCGCGCUCUACGGAGCCGCGACGGGCAUCAUGAUCAGCCAGACGCAGAGCCACAGUUACUGCAACCUCAAGGAUUACCAGAUGUCCUGCGCCUACCACGCCUUCCUGGCGGCCGCGGUCUGCGGCGGCCUCUGCCUCGGCCUCUACCUGCUCUCGGCGCUCUAUGGCUGCUGCCGCCACUACCAAGGCGAGCAGGAGGUGGCUUGAGGCCGCCGCGCCGCGGGGCGGUGGACCCGUCCUUCCCGCCGCCGCCGCCCCGCGCCCGUGCGCCCCGGCACCCUCCCCUCGCCCCUCAUUCCCGCCGCCGCCCGCGUCCCAGCGCCCUGAUCGCAGAUCCCGCCCGACGGCAGCGCCGCCGCCCAGAAUCCGUGUCAGCUACGCGGGAUUUGUUGUCUCCCGGGACGGGGGCAGGGCUGCAUCCGAGGGGCUGACGCACACACUCAGAUGGGCCGCCCCGAGGCGAAGACUCGCGGUUCCUUUUCCCUUUCCCGGCCGAGAGCUAGACGUGGACAGAAGCCGCGUAGAUCCGGGGGUGGCUCCCAAAUUGGAACCAGUCUACUGGCGGCGCCACGGUCCCCUCCCUCCCGCCCCGCGUUCAGAAGAGCACCCCCUUGCUUUGGCCUCUCUUCCAACCUCGCGUGCUGAAAAAGUCAGGCAUGCCGCCGCAGGCGGAGCGGGGGACGAGCCUCCACUUGUCCCGGGAUGAGCGACGGGUGUGGUUUUAGCUUGGGCUCGUGCGGGCAUCCUGCGCAGUCCUUCCAGGCCCAUCCCUCUGUGCUUUGAGGUCUUGGGGUGAGGCCCGUCUGCAAAGGUGAGGAUGGAUAGGAAGGGCCUCGAGGGAUGUAUUCUUGCACCUUUGGAGGCUUCUUUCUCCUUUGCCUGUUCUGCCUUUGUCCUCGGGGUUCACGGAGGCCAGGUCCUAAUGCCCACUGGCAUUUCUGGCCUCAUCUUCCCGGCCUUCCUCUCACAGGCUUCCGCUCCAUCCCCACUUGCCAAUCUUUUUCCUUUAGGAAUCUCACACCACCGUCUAUGAAUGUUAGGCGAGCCCCACCCCUUCUUUUUAUAGAUGGAGACUCAGAGAUUGCUCUUGGGAGCUGCCGGAAAAAAAAGAUUAGAAGCCCGUCUUUGGACUCCUAGUCUAGCACUGUUUACUUUAAAGCAGUGGCUGUUGCCAGGAAUCCGGGUUUGGGAGCUACCCUCUAAUAGAGAUUUUCAAGGCCAAAAGGGUUUGUCAAGGUGCUUUCUCCUCCUCUGGGAGAGUCACAAUGCUCAUUAGCAUAGCAAAGGCUCUGUGAAGUCCUGCUCUAAAAGAAGCCCAAGUAAUUUAGUUUCCAGUGUUACUCACCUCUGGAUCUGGACCAGGACCAGUUUUUCCCACUUUAAGGUUCCAAGCAGCUCUGUUUUGUCUGGGCUCUCCUUUGACACCAAGGGGCCCAACCCUUUGGCUGCGGUCUGUUUGAAGAUGGGGGGGCACUCCUUUUCCCCAGGGAGUUCCCUUAGCAGAGGGAGCCCCACAACCCCUCUGUGAAAGAGAAGAUAGCUGCUCUCCAGACCAGUGAGAGCCUGGGAACUGUGGAUUUGAACCUUUCUUUACAUUAUCUGGGAAAUGAAGCCAAAGUUCUCCAGAUGGUGUUCCAGUCAAAAGGAACAUCACCUGUAAGAGAUGCUAGCAUUGACCAUGAGCAGCUGGCAGGAGUGAGUCACAUCAAAGAGAGAAGAAAACUCUGGAUCUGGAGUGAACAGCUGGCCCAGCCUGAUAAGAUUUCCACGUGGCUAAGGCCAUGGAGACUCCCAGAGCCCGGCAUGCCGACCUCUCCCAGGGCCCGCUUCCCUGGGCCGGCAACACCAUUCUGACCUGGGUCAGCAGAGGGCUUCAUUGGCCAUAGAGGGAGGAGGGGAGAGGGAACAGCCUUUGCCCAGCAGCUCCCUUUCUACAGCAUCCAAUGGAAGAGCCAGGAUGGUGAAGGUCACCACUUAAGCUGCGUCCUCAGCUCGGAUCCGGCUCCUUGAGGACCUCUUCCUCACCCCAGCCCAUGGUGCUCUGUCUGCAGUCGAGACCUCACUCAGGAGCAGACGUCUCCUCGGCCUUCAUGAUACCUUAUCCAUCCGCACGUGCCUGAAACAUUCCUGAGCCCACUGGCUCAUCCAGAUGUGCCUUCCUGCUUGGCCUCCAGCUGCUUCUCCACGUGUGAGAAGGACAUGAAGACGGCCCCCACACCCACCCUCUCCUCCCCUCGGGGCCCUGUGCCAUGAGAAUGGCCACCUGAGCUGGCCCAGAACUUUUGGAUGUGGGAGGCAGCCUCCUUGGCCUCCCUCUGUGGACUCUAGGACCCAAUCCAAGCGAGACUGCUGUGGGCUGCCUCCAGCCCAAACGCCUGGGACCAAGCAUGGGCCCAGGAGAGGAUUUCUGCAGUGUUCUACGAUGGCCCAGAGAGAGGGUGAAUGUGGGGUGGGGUGGGGGGUGGGGAGAGGGGACCAAUGUGCCUUGUUCCGUCGUCUAGUGGUGAUUACUAAUGUGCCUUUCUGAAUAAAGUUUGGUUUUUC
RNAcentral lists this long non-coding RNA (2695 nucleotides) under Sus scrofa (pig). RNAcentral describes it as "lncRNA (ENSSSCG00065022225.1)". The record is from RNAcentral. Lineage: Eukaryota; Metazoa; Chordata; Mammalia; Artiodactyla; Suidae.